This 253-nucleotide ribosomal RNA is filed under the name uncultured bacterium. RNAcentral describes it as "partial 16S ribosomal RNA". It matches the Rfam family "Bacterial small subunit ribosomal RNA", at positions 524 to 776 of the family's 1533-position model. The record is from RNAcentral.
UACGUAGGGUGCGAGCGUUGUCCGGAAUUAUUGGGCGUAAAGGGCUCGUAGGCGGUUUGGCGCGUCGGGAGUGAAAACCUUGGGCUUAACUCCGGGCUUGCUUUCGAUACGGGCAGACUAGAGGUAUGCAGGGGAGAACGGAAUUCCUGGUGUAGCGGUGAAAUGCGUAGAGAUCUCCAAGAACACCCGUUGCGAAGGCGGCUAGCUGGGUUGACAUUGACGCUGAGGCUCGAAAGCGUGGGGAGCAAACAGG